Molecule: ribosomal RNA, 631 nt
Filed under: uncultured bacterium
Lineage: Bacteria
Description: bacterial SSU rRNA
Rfam family: Bacterial small subunit ribosomal RNA
Source: RNAcentral
GGCGAACGGGUGCGUAACACGUGAGAAACCAACCCCGGUCUCUGGGAUAACAGGUGGAAACACCUGCUAAUACCUGGAUGCCGACGUGUCCUCGCAAGGGGAUAUGACGAAAGGGCUACCGGUUCGGGACGGUCUCGCGGCCUAUCAGCUUGUUGGAGUGGUAACGGCUCACCAAGGCAUCGACGGGUAGCUGGUCUGAGAGGUUGAUCAGCCACACUGGGACUGAGAUACGGCCCAGACUCCUACGGGAGGCCCCAGUGGGGAAUCUUGCGCAAAGGGCGAAAGCCUGACGCAGCAACGCCGCGUGCGGGAUGAAGGCCUUCGGGUUGUAAACCGCUUUUACCAGGAAGGAAAAUGACAGUACCUGGACAAAAAGGUGGGGCACAACUACGUGCCAGCAGCCGCGGUGACACGUAGUCCACCAAGCGUUGUCCGGAUUUAUUGGGCGUAAAGAGCUCGUAGGCGGUUCAGUAAGUCGGGUGUGAAAACUCUGGGCUUAACCCAGAGACGCCACCCGAUUCUGCAGUGACUUGAGUCCGGUAGGGGAGUGGGGAAUUUCCUCGUGUAGCGGUGAAAAUUGCGCAGAUAUCACGGAAGGGAAAACACCCAAUGGGCAAACGCACCCACCUCU